CGGAGAGCCAAGUGGAUCAAGGCAGU
RNAcentral lists this transfer RNA (26 nucleotides) under Coelogyne prolifera. RNAcentral's name for it is "partial tRNA-His". Lineage: Eukaryota; Viridiplantae; Streptophyta; Magnoliopsida; Asparagales; Orchidaceae. The record is from RNAcentral.